Molecule: long non-coding RNA, 573 nt
Organism: Manis pentadactyla (Chinese pangolin)
Lineage: Eukaryota; Metazoa; Chordata; Mammalia; Pholidota; Manidae
Exons: 2
Source: RefSeq, a predicted model, not a curated record
UGGCUCCGCCCGGAAGCCAGGGCCCCCCGCGAGCGCCAGCAGGCGCCACAGGAAGUACCUGCGGCGGGCGUGUGCUCAGGCCGCCGCCGACCCCGCGACCCCCGCCGCAGCCGGCGUCCUGGACGGCCCCUGACCGCCUGAGUACCCCUCUGCGCUCAAGACCGCGACCUGGGACACAGCCGCCCUCACCAGAGAAUCUGAAUUCUGAUGUCGGCUUUCAGAAACCACCUCACUGUGCUUCACUGCCCGUCAGCACCUGGUGCUGGGCAGAUGAGUCCAGAAGAAAUGUCUUUGGUAAAAGUUGAUUCAACCAUGAGGGACCUUCCAAGCAAGGCUAGUCACUGCCUGAAGAAACACUUGAGGUGCCAGUCCUUGCAAGGGGCCAGGGACAGUGGACUCGGAGGCUGGCUUCCCAUGAGGAUGUUUCUCCAAUUCAGAGGACCCCAGUGGAGACAGCAAACCAUGUGCAGGCAGCACUGUCUUCAAAAUAUGCCUUCACCCGUCACCUUUCCAAAAUGCCUUUUCAGCAUGUAAUUGCCAAGGUCCCAAUAAAAUCACAGAAAGGCACCAGGA